This 394-nucleotide ribosomal RNA is filed under the name uncultured bacterium. RNAcentral describes it as "partial 16S ribosomal RNA". It matches the Rfam family "Bacterial small subunit ribosomal RNA", at positions 523 to 918 of the family's 1533-position model. The record is from RNAcentral.
AUACGGAGGAUGCAAGCGUUAUCCGGAUUUAUUGGGUUUAAAGGGUGCGUAGGCGGAUGAUUAAGCGUGAGGUGAAAUGCCACUGCUCAACAGUGGAACUGCCUCGCGAACUGGUUGUCUUGAAUGCUCCUGCCGUGGGAGGAAUGUGUGGUGUAGCGGUGAAAUGCAUAGAGAUCACACAGAACACCGAUUGCGAAGGCAUCUCACGAAGGGGUGAUUGACGCUGAGGCACGAAAGCGUGGGGAUCAAACAGGAUUAGAUACCCUGGUAGUCCAUGCAGUAAACGAUGAUAACUAACCGCUGGGUCGUAGUGAUUCAGUGGCCAAGCGAAAGCGAUAAGUUAUCCACCUGGGGAGUACGACCGCAAGGUUGAAACUCAAAUGAAUUGGCGGGG